GGAGUUCACAUACUUGUUAGAAGCUUCAAGAGUUGAUUUGGGAGUGUUUGGAGUGAAGAAAAAUUCAUUUGUUCACAAGAGGGCAUUCUAAGAUUUUACUAGUAUAAAAUUGUUUUAGUGAUUUUAAGCACAUAGAGAUUCCUUUUUUUGAUAUUUUUUGAUAGACCUCUUCUAAGACAUGGCUUCAAGUAAGGGUGACGGUUUGAGAGUGAUUGAGAAGUUUAGAGGUGACAAUUUCUACCAUUGGAAGGUCAAAAUGGAACUUUUGUUGGCAUCUUUGGACCUUUCGGACAUCGUAGAUGAAAGUGAAGAGCCUCUAAGCAUGUAUGCUAAUGCUAAAGAGGCGAAGGACUUCACAAGACGUGAAAAGAAGGCUUUU
RNAcentral lists this long non-coding RNA (379 nucleotides) under Physcomitrium patens. RNAcentral's name for it is "long non-coding RNA (PPAT_LNC003474)". Lineage: Eukaryota; Viridiplantae; Streptophyta; Bryopsida; Funariales; Funariaceae. The record is from RNAcentral.